Molecule: ribosomal RNA, 660 nt
Filed under: uncultured Acetobacteraceae bacterium
Lineage: Bacteria; Pseudomonadati; Pseudomonadota; Alphaproteobacteria; Acetobacterales; Acetobacteraceae
Description: bacterial SSU rRNA
Rfam family: Bacterial small subunit ribosomal RNA
Source: RNAcentral
GAUGAACGCUAGCGACAGGCCUAACACAUGCAAGUCGAGGGGCAGCACAAGGAGCAAUCUGAGGUGGCGACCGGCGCACGGGUGAGUAACACGUAUGCAACCUGCCUGUAAGCGGGGAAUAACCCGUUGAAAGACGGACUAAUACCGCAUAAUACUAAAUUACUGCAUGGUAAUUUAUUUAAACAUUUAUGGCUUACAGAUGGGCAUGCGCAUGAUUAGCUAGUUGGAGAGGUAACGGCUCCCCAAGGCAACGAUCAUUAGGGGUUCUGAGAGGAAGGUCCCCCACACCGGUACUGGGACACGGACCAGACUCCUACGGGAGGCAGCAGUGAGGAAUAUUGGUCAAUGGACGAGAGUCUGAACCAGCCAAGUCGCGUGCAGGAAGAAUGUCCUAUGGAUUGUAAACUGCUUUUGCAGGGGAAUAAAGUGCAUCACGUGUGAUGUUUUGUAUGUACUCUGCGAAUAAGGAUCGGCUAACUCCGUGCCAGCAGCCGCGGUAAUACGGAGGAUCCGAGCGUUAUCCGGAUUUAUUGGGUUUAAAGGGUGCGUAGGCGGGAUAAUAAGUCAGUGGUGAAAGUUUGCAGCUUAACUGUAAAAUUGCCGUUGAAACUGUUAUUCUUGAGAGUAGAUAAGGUAGGCGGAAUGUGUUGUGUAGCGGUG